RNAcentral lists this ribosomal RNA (496 nucleotides) under uncultured bacterium. RNAcentral describes it as "partial 16S ribosomal RNA". It matches the Rfam family "Bacterial small subunit ribosomal RNA", at positions 29 to 507 of the family's 1533-position model. The record is from RNAcentral.
AUGAACGCUGGCGGCGUGCCUAAUACAUGCCAGUCGAGCGAACGGACGAGAAGCUUGCUUCUCUGAUGUUAGCGGCGGACGGGUGAGUAACACGUGGAUAGCCUACCUAUAAGACUGGGAUAACUUCGGGAAACCGUAGCUAAUACCGGAUAAUAUUUUGAACCGCAUGGUUCAAAAGUGAAAGACGGUCUUGCUGUCACUUAUAGAUGGAUCCGCGCUGCAUUAGCUAGUUGGUAAGGUAACGGCUUACCAAGGCAACGAUGCAUAGCCGACCUGAGAGGGUGAUCGGCCACACUGGAACUGAGACACGGUCCAGACUCCUACGGGAGGCAGCAGUAGGGAAUCUUCCGCAAUGGGCGAAAGCCUGACGGAGCAACGCCGCGUGAGUGAUGAAGGUCUUCGGAUCGUAAAACUCUGUUAUUAGGGAAGAACAUAUGUGUAAGUAACUGUGCACAUCUUGACGGUACCUAAUCAGAAAGCCACGGCUAACUACGUG